CCUACGGGAGGCAGCAGUGGGGAAUAUUGGGCAAUGGGCGCAAGCCUGACCCAGCAACGCCGCGUGAAGGAAGAAGGCUUUCGGGUUGUAAACUUCUUUUGUCAGGGACGAAGCAAGUGACGGUACCUGACGAAUAAGCCACGGCUAACGACGUGCCAGCAGCCGCGGUAAUACGUAGGUGGCAAGCGUUAUCCGGAUUUACUGGGUGUGAAGGGCGUGUAGGCGGGGAAGCAAGUCAGAUGUGAAAACCACGGGCUCAACCUGUGGCCUGCAUUUGAAACUGUUGAACUUGAGUGCAGAAGAGGAGAGUGGAACUCCAUGUGUAGCGGUGGAAUGCGUAGAUAUAUGGAAGAACACCAGUGGCGAAGGCAGCUCACUGGACUGCAACUGACACUGAGGCUCGAAAGUGUGGGUAUCAAACAGGAUUAGAUACCCGAGUAGUC
This 443-nucleotide ribosomal RNA is filed under the name uncultured bacterium. RNAcentral's name for it is "partial 16S ribosomal RNA". It matches the Rfam family "Bacterial small subunit ribosomal RNA", at positions 338 to 795 of the family's 1533-position model. The record is from RNAcentral.